Molecule: long non-coding RNA, 2105 nt
Organism: Drosophila sulfurigaster albostrigata
Lineage: Eukaryota; Metazoa; Arthropoda; Insecta; Diptera; Drosophilidae
Exons: 2
Source: RefSeq, a predicted model, not a curated record
UAAGAUCCUUAGUUUUAUUUAGUACAAUAUAAGUCUAAGUCGAUCGGAAGUCGUUUUGCACUUGGCAUCUUCCACCAAGAGGCAUAAUCUUUGCAGCUGGUGCGUGUUGAUGCCACUUGGGGAAGAUGCAAGGUCGCAUUCGCCGGUGCCCCAAGUGCACUUAAUCACAUGGAAGUGCCGGCCACCCAACUGCCAUGGGAAUGAGGAUGGAGAUGGGGAUGGGAAUGAGGAUGAGGAUGGAUUUGAGUUGGAGGCAUGUGGCAGGUGUCCAUGCAACCACUUUUGGCGACAGUCGUUUGUCGUUUGUGGCGCGUUGACGUUCACGGCACGUACACAACGCGUCGGCCAGAGGCAACGGCAACGACAACGGCUUAAACGAUGCCAAGUGGCAAGCGGCGUUAGCCUGGCCUGAACCUUAGCGUAGGCAAAAGGGCUAAAGCGCAACAUGGCCAGAACCCUUCAAAUGACGAGAAGAUGCUGCUUCAUGUGCUAAUUGCGCUGUCAAGUCAAGUGUGCGUGUAUGUGUGUGUGUGUGACAGAGAGAACGAAACAAGAGACAGAAAGAGAGAGAGCGAGCACAGACGGAAGCAACAGCUCAAAUGCCAAAUGAGACACCCACACACACACACAUUUAUGUCGUGAAGAGAAUAUUUGUUGCAUACUUUGCGCGGCCGCAGCAGCAACAUUUUCCGCUCUCGACAACAGGCAAGCCACCCAAAGAAUUUCCCUUAACAACAACAAUUGUCGCUGUUAAGCAUUUUCCCAUAUUCAUUUCGCAUUUCGCAUUUCACCCAAAUCAAUUCCAACUCAAAUGUUCCGCGGCCCAUUGAACACACACUGUCUCUCUCUCUUUCUCUCUCUCUCUCUUUCUCUAUUCUCUGCUCAAAUUCUAUUGUUUCUAUUCCCAAUUCUAUUACGCUCGUUGUGAUCCAUUUUCAGUGUGUUUUUUAGCAGCAAAAAAGCAGAAUCGUUAGCGAAAAAUGCCAAAAGGAAAAACAAACAACAUUUUAUCGGCAUGUAGAGAUAAAGCGCCGGCAACAACAACAUUGCAGCCGAAACAGUAACAGAAACAGAGACACAUGCCACAGCCACAGCCACAGGCAGAGCCACAGCGAAUGGCCAAAAUCGAUUUUUCCAACCCUCAACAUGUGGCUGCAGCAAAACUGCGAAACUCUGCUCUGAACUCAACGCGACUCUCUGUCUAGGCCCUGAGUUAAGUUCUGGUCUGAGGCUGUCUGAGUGCCCCAAAUGGCGGCACAAAAACAACAAAUGCAAAAGACGAACGGAGAACAAAAAUAACUAAAAACCAUUUCCAGACAGCAUUUGCAAAUCUAUAUUCUACUCUUCUACCAUUUCAUUUCAUUAAUAUUUCAAAAAAAGAGCAUUGUAGUUAAAGUCACUUUGGAUUAUCUAAUCAGAAAAUAUUUGAUGUUCAAUACAAAUUUGUGUAAAUUAUAAAUAUAAAAACACAAUUUUAUUAUAUUUCCAAAGACAGUAACACAACAAUAUUCUGUUGUAUUGUUUCUUCACUUUUAAAUAAAGUAUUCCUUAAAAAAAAGGAACAAAAUUCAGAUCUCAGAAAAGAAAUAAAGCAAUUUUAAUUUUGAAGAAAAAAUGUAAGAAAUCUUAAAGAAUUUUUAAUACACAUUUGGGAAUAAUAAACAAAAGUUCCUUAUAGAAAAGUUAUAUUUUCGAAAUCAGGGAAAUAUUUCUUCCUCCUUAAACGGACCUGCAUAAAAUCGAGUUCAUAUUGCAGUGAAAUCCAAGUACUGUUGUUAUUACUCUCGCUACUUGAUAACCUUUAAGAGUCUCGUGCAAGCUGCACUUCAACCCCCGAGAAAAAAAACAGAAAAAGGCCGAAAAACUUUUAUCACAGAGUUUUUCUGGUACGUCAUCCCCUUUUUGUUAUCACAUCAGGGGUGAACGUUAAAGUUUUGCCCCCACUGAUUGAAUAGACCAACUAAGGCAAUAGAUGGAUGAUAUAAAAUGUGUGUGCUUUUCAAUAUAAGACUGAUGGGGGUUGGCUCCCCGCAUAUUGCCUGCACUACACAACUUUCUCAGGUAAUUAGAUAUUACGGGGUUGUUGACGUUCCCACAGAAGAAGA